AGAGUUUGAUCCUGGCUCAGGACGAACGCUGGCGGCGUGCUUAACACAUGCAAGUCGAACGAUGAAGCCCUUCGGGGUGGAUUAGUGGCGAACGGGUGAGUAACACGUGGGCAACCUGCCCCCUACUCUGGGAUAACUCCGGGAAACCGGGGCUAAUACUGGAUACGACCUGGGACCGCAUGGUCUCGGGUGGAAAGUUU
RNAcentral lists this ribosomal RNA (200 nucleotides) under uncultured bacterium. RNAcentral describes it as "partial 16S ribosomal RNA". It matches the Rfam family "Bacterial small subunit ribosomal RNA", at positions 8 to 210 of the family's 1533-position model. The record is from RNAcentral.